GACGAACGCUGGCGGCGUGCUUAACACAUGCAAGUCGAACGAUGAAGAAGAGAAACGCGAACUUCGGUUCAAAUUUCACUUCGGAUUAGUGGCAGACGGGUGAGUAACGCGUGAGCAACCUACCUCUUACAAAGGGAUAGCCUCGGGAAACCGUGAUUAAUACCAUAUGACACAUUCAUAAGGCAUCUUAAGAAUGUUAAAGCUACGGCGGUAAGAGAUGGGCUCGCGUCCCAUUAGCUAGUUGGUGAGGUAACGGCCCACCAAGGCGACGAUGGGUAACCGGCCUGAGAGGGUGAACGGUCACAUUGGAACUGAGACACGGUCCAAACUCCUACGGGAGGCAGCAGUGGGGAAUAUUGCACAAUGGAGGGAACUCUGAUGCAGCGACGCCGCGUGAGCGAUGAAAGAAUUCGUUUCGUAAAGCUCUGUUCUAUGGGAAGAAAAGGACUGUACCAAAGGAGAAAGCCCCGGCUAAAUACGUG
Molecule: ribosomal RNA, 482 nt
Filed under: uncultured bacterium
Lineage: Bacteria
Description: partial 16S ribosomal RNA
Rfam family: Bacterial small subunit ribosomal RNA
Source: RNAcentral